RNAcentral lists this long non-coding RNA (457 nucleotides) under Brassica napus (rape). RNAcentral's name for it is "long non-coding RNA (BNAP_LNC017686)". The record is from RNAcentral. Lineage: Eukaryota; Viridiplantae; Streptophyta; Magnoliopsida; Brassicales; Brassicaceae.
AAAUAUUUUAGAGCAAAUUAGCUCAAUAUACUUAAAAGGAUGGGAUACCAUACAAAUGGGGGAAAAUAGUAAUGAUGGGGGGAAGAAAAUUGGAGGGAUUUAGGGUAUGGAGUGCAAAUAGGGGAUAUUUGGUGUGUAGGGAGUACAACAAACAUAUAGGGUGUUAGUGUAUAGUUAUUUUGGAGUAAUUUUUUUAGAGUACAACUAUUUUACUCUGAGGGCAGCUGAAUAUUUACAAAUCAGGAAAACUAAGGGUAAAAAACAUUUCAGAUGGAUAUAGCUUAAAAUAGCACAAAUUAUCUCUCCACUUUUGAGGAGAGUAAACAAUAGUUCAAAAACAACAUAAUCCCGUUUUGGAUAUUCAAAUUCAAGUCCUGUAGAAUACGUGUGUGAAUUGUUAAUAGAAUACUUUUAAAGAAAUUGUUAAUAGAAUACAGUUUCAGAUUACUUUUAUUCA